This 286-nucleotide long non-coding RNA is filed under the name Vigna radiata. Its description in RNAcentral is "long non-coding RNA (VRAD_LNC013659)". The record is from RNAcentral. Lineage: Eukaryota; Viridiplantae; Streptophyta; Magnoliopsida; Fabales; Fabaceae.
CAGCUCAAGCAUCAGAAAACAAUAAAGCUACGUCAAAAAAGGUUAAUGUCUCGGUCCCGCAAAAUAUCCACCGAAACAUUUUGGCGCCCACCGUUGGGCCUAGAGAAUUGAAGACACCCAAGCAUGACCACAAGAAAUAUGGAAGAACACCAGAGCAACGCUGAAACCACAAGGAGCCAGACGAAGAUGUAGUCUCAGCAUCAUCAUGUCAACCACACCCCAUCAUAUUGAUCCCGAUAGAAGAAACCAUCAACAUCAACAAGCUUCUACGGCUUACAGUACUCGG